CUGAGCUCAGAUCUCCCUGGAUCACCCCCUCUUCUUCUCAGGCAGUCUAGUCUUUCUUUGUAUCAACCCAGACUUUCCUCUUUAACAGGCAACCAGCAGGCACCUCUUUCUACAUGAUUCCAAGGUAGUGCUUGUUGACUUUUUCAAAUCGGGUUCCUCACAAUAAGAAGACACUGAAGCCCACAAGGACAGAGAUAAAUACAAAAAGAAAGAUAGGAGAAGCCCUAUGAUGUUUGAGUUAUUUUACAAUAACCCAAGAACAGUGUUAUACACAAAAAGUCUCGCCCCCAUCUUCAUCUUCUUAGAAUCCUCCCUUAGCCACUCUUGGCUUUUCCUGGAAGAACGGCCUCUGCAGCUGUCGCCUGGCUGGAGGAAAGGCGGGGGACCCCACAGCCCCCCUGCCCAAGAACCGGGGACAUCGCCACAUUCUGCGCCCUUAGGACUAACGUCAGGUUCGGCCUAGAGUAGGUUUUGGCAAAAUGUCUGCCAAUGAAUCGUGUCCCCUCUUCCUGGAGAUAUUAAGCAAUAUUCUUUGCUUUGUCCACACUUUCAGGAGGAGAGAAGGUGUAUUGGCAAAGGAUGGUGCUGAAGCAUGAAGCUGCUGCUGCAGCCUUGAAGCUGGAAGGCUCGCCCUGAAGUUAGACGGAUUGGGGUACCCAACCUCUGCCAAACCCACCUCUGUGUUCCUGUCUGCCUGGGAAAAAGAAAAGACACUCUCGAUCCGUCACCUGAAGUAGCCACAAUUAGGAAAGUGCUAGGACUGCAUUGUCUGAGUUCUUUGCCAGGAUCCCGGGAGUAGGGGUGGGGAGGGACAAAGGUGUGGGCUGAGGGGACCCUUCAGACAACCCCGUUGUCUCCAGGGCGGGGGGAUCUCUUUAAAAAAAACACGUGAGGCUCCCCUGGAAAUGUUCAUGUCCUUCUUCUCAAGGGCACACACGGCAGAAGCGACCCCGGCUCUCAGAUCACAGGCUCUGUG
This 976-nucleotide long non-coding RNA is filed under the name Bos indicus x Bos taurus (hybrid cattle). Its description in RNAcentral is "lncRNA (ENSBIXG00000028617.1)". The record is from RNAcentral. Lineage: Eukaryota; Metazoa; Chordata; Mammalia; Artiodactyla; Bovidae.